GCUGGAUCAAUCCAGAUGAUAUUCCGUUAAGUUCUCUCUUUUGAUUUCUGUUGUCUCUCAGGCACAAACUGGGAUGGUUUGAAGAAGAGGAUGAGCAAGUUCCUUCAGUCUCAUCAUGGCAGCACGAAGCAAACGAACACUGUCCAGGUUCUGCAGCUCCGUGUGUUUCUCGCCGUGUUUCCAUCCUGUCGAACACUCAGCGCCUGCCCUGCACGCAUUUCGGAAGCGAAGGACUUUCCUAAUUACAGUGCGAACAAUCCGAGCUGAUGGCUCCCAGCCUUUGCCACAGCAGCUGUUUGAUGGAAACAAUCAGCACUUUUUGGAGAGACCAAUGCAGCUGAGGCAGCUCCUGCAGGCCUGCUGGUGGUUCCUCCAGCUGUGCCUGCAUCCUUUUGUGCUGUGCCCAACAAGCCGGGCAUGCACUUUUGGUGUGUUUUGCAUCAGAUCCACCCAAAUUCAAACGAGCAGGGAAAGUUACUCUUCUGGACACCAACUUUUCACAGUGACUACUUGCUCACAGGCACAGUGGGGGGUUGGAUGCUGAGGAUGGGGAUGUGAUGUUCCCUGUUGCGAGGGGACAGCGGUGGCCUUGGACCUGCAGCCACCAGCCCAGCACCCAGCAGGGGAUGUGGUGUUAGGGGAUCACCCUCCUCCUCCUUUAUAGUGGCACCUCUGGAGAGAAUUGCUUUGAAAGCACUGCUUUGUUCAGCAGCUCCUCUGGACUGUCUGGUCCUCAGACAGCGCUGGAUGUCUGAGCGGAGACAUCAGAGCCUUCCUGAAGCUGUUAUAACUUAAUCUGGCAGGCCAGCCUGCUCCGGCACCUCUUGCCAAGAGAGGAAGCCAGAGCACUAGAUGAUUUUCAGACAUUAGUGACUGCCAUAAAUCACAAAGCAGAAGUUAUCAAGUGCUCUGCUAAUGGACGUUUCCUUCCAGAGUAUCCCCUCUUGGGCUGUGCAGGGGCACAGAGGCUGCUCUCAGUGGGGGAAGCCAAGGGAGCUGUGCCAAGGCUGGGAAACAUGCUGAGGAAAGAGGCACCAGGCCCCAAUUCCAGCCUGACUGCUGCACUGCUGUGGCUGCUGCUGCUGCUCUUUGUGGGAGCUCAGACCCCCCCAGCCCCAUACAGAUAGCCAUGCUUUGGGAGCAGUGCAAAUCCCAAGUCAUCAAGAGGAAGGCACCAUUGGAGGCCAACCUGCAAAUGACUUAAAGUGCAGAAGGGAGAUUUCAGCCAAUCUGAGUGCUGGGCAGGGUUUAAACUGCGUGGAAGGAGUCGAUGCUUUGGUGCUGAGAUGGUUCUGCUCCAUGCUGUGCUUCCUGGCUCCUUAUAGCUGACAUGGCAAAGGGCUCGGGGCUCUACCCCCUUCCCUUCGAUGCUGAUUCCCAAUCAAAGCGAUGCACUCCUUGAGGAGCAGCAAACUGUUUAAUAUUUAAACCUGAACAGCCCAGGCAAAGCUGCUUUUCUUUUUUAUUUAUUCUUUUAAUUAAAUGCCAAUUAGAAAGGGAGGGAGAGAGAGAGGAAAAAAAAAAGGCAUUAAACACUUAAAUAC
Molecule: long non-coding RNA, 1544 nt
Filed under: Phasianus colchicus (ring-necked pheasant)
Lineage: Eukaryota; Metazoa; Chordata; Aves; Galliformes; Phasianidae
Description: lncRNA (ENSPCLG00000011170.1)
Source: RNAcentral